CCGUGAGGGAAAGUUGAAAAGAACUUUGAAGAGAGAGUUAACAGGGCGUGAAACCGCUAAGAAGCAAACGGAUGGAGCGGACGUUAGUCGGUGAGAUUCAGCCUGUCAGUGGCCGGACCCGAUCGUUGCAGGGCGCAAGUCUGCGGCGGGCGGUGAUUCGGUCUCUGCGGGUGCACUUCUCGCCGAUCGCAUCAGAGGCGGUGGGGGUGUCGCGUUGUCCUGGGAGUGGGUGGCUUUCGUCCUCGUGGCGGGAGUGUCUUGCUCCCGGUGCCAGUGUGGUCGCCUCUACCGUGAUGAGAUAGGUGCCCGCCUCUAGCUCGCUAGUYGUGGCAUCUGCGCCGGCUCGUUGGGUUUACCAGUCUCUGGCCCCGGCUUGUCCAGUGUAGGUGUUUGCGGCGAUGCGAGUGGCGCCUGGCUCUGAUGUUUAGUCUGUUACCCAUCCGACCCGUCUUGAAACACGGACCAAGGAGUCUAACAUGGGCGCAAGUCAUUGGGUUGCUAAACCUAAAGGCGAAAUGAAAGUAAAGGUCACUUCUGGUGGCUGAUAUGGGAUCCGUGGCCUCGGCUGCGGCGCACCAUAGUCCCGUCCCGUGGGCAUUGUCCCUGGGGCGGAGAUAGAGCGUGCAUGUUGGGACCCGAAAGAUGGCGAACUUAACGUGAUCAGGGUGAAGUCGUGGGAAACCACGAUGGAGGCCCAUACAGGUUCUGACGUGCAAAUCGAUCUGAAGAAUUGCGUUAGGGGGCGAAAGACUAAUCGAGCUAUCUAGUAGCUGGUUUCCUUCGCAAA
Molecule: ribosomal RNA, 787 nt
Filed under: Chromadorina germanica
Lineage: Eukaryota; Metazoa; Nematoda; Chromadorea; Chromadorida; Chromadoridae
Description: partial large subunit ribosomal RNA
Source: RNAcentral